RNAcentral lists this ribosomal RNA (460 nucleotides) under uncultured bacterium. Its description in RNAcentral is "partial 16S ribosomal RNA". It matches the Rfam family "Bacterial small subunit ribosomal RNA", at positions 338 to 795 of the family's 1533-position model. The record is from RNAcentral.
CCUACGGGUGGCAGCAGUGAGGAAUAUUGGUCAAUGGCCGGAAGGCUGAACCAGCAAUGCCGCGUGAAGGUCAGUGCCCUAUGGGCGUUAAACUUCUUUUGUGCGGGAGCAAUAAUGGUAACGUGUGGCCAGACGAGAGUACCGUACGAAUAAGCAUCGGCUAACCUCGUGCCAGCAGCCGCGGUAAUACGAGGGAUGCAAGCGUUAUCCGGUUUUAUUGGGUUUAAAGGGAGCGUAGGCUGUGAGGUAAGUCAGAGGUGAAAUGCCCCCGCUCAACGGGGUGAAGUGCCAUUGAUACUGCCUGGCUGGAAUGCGGAUGCCGUGAGAGGAAUGUGUGGUGUAGCGGUGAAAUGCAUAGAUAUCACACAGAACACCGAUUGCGAAGGCAUCUCACGAAUCCGCGAUUGACGCUGAUGCACGAAAGCGUGGGUAGCAAACAGGAUUAGAUACCCUAGUAGUC